UACAGAGGUCCCGAGCGUUGUUCGGAUUCAUUGGGCGUAAAGGGCGCGUAGGCGGCCUUCUAAGUCAGACGUGAAAUCCCCGGGCUCAACCCGGGAACUGCGUCCGAUACUGGAUGGCUUGAAUCCGGGAGAGGGAUGCAGAAUUCCAGGUGUAGCGGUGAAAUGCGUAGAUAUCUGGAGGAAUACCGGUGGCGAAGGCGGCAUCCUGGACCGGCAUUGACGCUGAUGAGCGAAAGCUAGGGGAGCAAACGGG
Molecule: ribosomal RNA, 253 nt
Filed under: uncultured bacterium
Lineage: Bacteria
Description: partial 16S ribosomal RNA
Rfam family: Bacterial small subunit ribosomal RNA
Source: RNAcentral